This 252-nucleotide ribosomal RNA is filed under the name uncultured bacterium. RNAcentral's name for it is "partial 16S ribosomal RNA". It matches the Rfam family "Bacterial small subunit ribosomal RNA", at positions 524 to 776 of the family's 1533-position model. The record is from RNAcentral.
UACGUAGGUCCCGAGCGUUGUCCGGAUUUAUUGGGCGCAAAGCGAGCGCAGGUGGUUUAUUAAGUCUGGUGUAAAAGGCAGUGGCUCAACCAUUGUAUGCAUUGGAAACUGGUAGACUUGAGUACAGGAGAGGAGAGUGGAAUUCCAUGUGUAGCGGUGAAAUGCGUAGAUAUAUGGAGGAACACCGGUGGCGAAAGCGGCUCUCUGGCCUGUAACUGACACUGAGGCUCGAAAGCGUGGGGAGCAAACAGG